GUGAGUGCUUGAAAUUUUCCUUUUUCUGGAUAAAGAAAGUUUGCAUGUCUUUUAUCUUGGACCUCCAAACAACGACAACAGACACUGCCAAACACAACAGUUGUGAGUGCUUGAAAUUUUCCUUUUUCUGGAUAAAGAAAGAUUACAUGUCUUUUUAUCUUGGACCUCCAAACAACGACAACAGACACUGCCAAACACAACAGCUGUUGUCAGACAGAUCCUGCCGGCCAUUAAGAAAGGCAUCUAUAGGGCACGACUGAAACUUGUACAACAUAGUACGAGCACCUAACCAAUUUGAAAACUUGCGAUCGUCCUGACUGCGGCUACACUUAACGUUGCUGUGUUUCCUCUGCGCACGCGAGUCCGUGUUAUUACUUUUAUUAUUGCCCAGUUGCUUUCACCUACAAGUUCUACCUUUGGGACAACAGCUGUACAGUUCAACGAUGCCAACGACGACGGAAAUAUGAAAAUUUUGGAACGAAAAAUUGAAGAGCUUGCCAUUCUCAUUGGCGGAACACUUUGUGCCUUGAAACAAUAAUCAUCUAUUUCAACUGUAGCAGGUGAACCCAAACGAACUGGAAGGUAAUAUGAAAAAAAAAAGAUCCUUUUACAGACCAUAAAUGUUGCAUCCAGGGCAAGCAGCAAUUAGAUACAGAAACAAGGCACUUAUUUCGGUGUAUAAUAAUUAAAGAUGCGUUGCCAAUCAGUAAGUAGUUGACGAAAUAUGUGGGGCCCGAACUCUGUUCAAACGCAAUAGAUGCUAUCGUUCUUUUUUAAUAUAUUGGCACUGUUAGUCUUUCAGUUAGCAAAGUGCUUUGGAAAAUGAACGCACGAUGGAAUUACUAGGAAGCUUUUAAUUUUGAACAAAAAACUUUUCUAAGGCGAGGCACUUUGAAGUUUGCAUCAUGAACAGUCCUACACCCGAUUUCCGCUCUAGCGUAAAGCACCGCAAAGGCUGACGAACAUCUGCACUUAACAUGCAAAGCUUCGUUUUAAGCGCACCUGUACGUUCUUAACUACAUAAUAGGAAAUAGUUGGUCGAUGCUCCCCGUGUGGCGCUCAUGGUAAU
Long non-coding RNA from Daphnia carinata, 1069 nucleotides. RefSeq lists it as uncharacterized. The record is from RefSeq and is a predicted model, not a curated record. NCBI's taxonomy places the organism in Eukaryota, Metazoa, Arthropoda, Branchiopoda, Diplostraca, Daphniidae. The transcript is spliced from 6 exons.